AAGAAGGGUCUGACGGUAAAUAAUCGGCAGAUUUGACGGUACCAGAAGAAGAAGCACCUGCAACUACGUGCCAGCAGCAGCGGUAAUACGUAGGGUGCAAGCGUUGUUCGGAAUUACUGGGCGUAAAGCGCGCGUAGGCGGGUCCGUAAGUCGAUUGUGAAAGCCCUGGGCUUAACCCGGGAAUUGCAGUCGAUACUGCGGAUCUUGAAUGCCUGAGAGGAUGGCGGAAUUCCCGGUGUAGAAGUGAAAUUCGUAGAUAUCGGGAAGAACACCUGAGGCGAAGGCGGCUAUCUGGCGGUGCAUUGACGCUGAUGCGCGAAAGCGUGGGGAGCAAACAGGAUUAGAUACCCUGGUAGUCCACGCCGUAAACGAUGGAUACUAGGCGUCCGAAGUGUUAACCCUUUGGGUGCCGUAGCUCACGCAUUAAGUAUCCCGCCUGGGGAGUACGGUCGCAAGGCUG
Molecule: ribosomal RNA, 460 nt
Filed under: uncultured bacterium
Lineage: Bacteria
Description: bacterial SSU rRNA
Rfam family: Bacterial small subunit ribosomal RNA
Source: RNAcentral